GACGAACGCUGGCGGCGUGCUUAACACAUGCAAGUCGAACGGUGAAGCGCCUUCCUUUUUGGUGGGUGCGGAUGAGUGGCGAACGGGUGAGUAACACGUGAGUAACCUGCCCCCUUCUUCUGGAUAACCGCAUGAAAGUGUGGCUAAUACGGGAUAUUCUGGGUCUGUCGCAUGAUGGGUCUGGGAAAGAUAUUGUUUCGGUGGGGGAUGGGCUCGCGGCCUAUCAGCUUGUUGGUGGGGUGAUGGCCUACCAAGGCGGUGACGGGUAGCCGGCCUGAGAGGGUGGACGGUCACACUGGGACUGAGACACGGCCCAGACUCCUGCGGGAGGCAGCAGUGGGGAAUAUUGCACAAUGGGCGCAAGCCUGAUGCAGCGACGCCGCGUGAGGGAUGGAGGCCUUCGGGUUGUGAACCUCUUUCGCCAGUGAAGCAGGCCUGCCUCGUUUGUGGGUGGGUUGACGGUAGCUGGAUAAGAAGCGCCGGCUAACUACGUG
Molecule: ribosomal RNA, 494 nt
Filed under: uncultured bacterium
Lineage: Bacteria
Description: partial 16S ribosomal RNA
Rfam family: Bacterial small subunit ribosomal RNA
Source: RNAcentral